Molecule: long non-coding RNA, 501 nt
Filed under: Sarcophilus harrisii (Tasmanian devil)
Lineage: Eukaryota; Metazoa; Chordata; Mammalia; Dasyuromorphia; Dasyuridae
Description: lncRNA (ENSSHAG00000028395.1)
Source: RNAcentral
GUCUCAGGGGCUGGCUAAGCUGAGUACUCUUGUGUCCAGGAGCAAUCUCCUCCAGAGAGCUGGCUGGAAACUGGGACUUCUGGACUUGAGAUCUCUCUGCCUCCUGCAAGGCAGCUCUGUAGGUGUAGGUCCCAGAACACAGGUGGUCAUGACCUUCCUGACUUCUCAAGGAGGUGAGAACCCCAAAAAAGAAGUGAUCAUGCCUUCCCUGACUGCUCAAAAAGGAGUGAAAACACCACAAAUAGGAGGUGGUCACACCCUCCCUGACAUCUCAAGAAGGGAGAUGAAAACACCAAAGGAAAUGGGAAAUCAAAUCAGAUUAGCGGGUCUCUGCAGGGGCUCACUCUUAAAACAGGAAACCUUUAACUGUGGGGAAGAAGACAUUGAACUUCAACAAAUCAGAAGCAUCUUACCGUAGAAAAGAAAGGAGUUUUAAUUUGACAGAGCUCGGGAGAUUUGAGCAUCUCCCCACCACCUAAGGUGGUCUGGCAGUGAAGAGAG